GUGUCAGCAGCCGCGGUAAUACGUAGGGGGCAAGCGUUAUCCGGAAUCAUUGGGCGUAAAGCGCGUGUAGGCGGUUCCGUAAGUCCGCUCUGAAAGCCCAGGGCUCAACCCUGGGAGGCGGGUGGAUACUACGGAACUGGAGUACGGAAGAGGAGAUUGGAAUUCCUGGUGUAGCGGUGAAAUGCGCAGAUAUCAGGAGGAACACCAACAGCGAAGGCAGAUCUCUGGGACGUUACUGACGCUGAGACGCGAAAGCGUGGGGAGCAAACAGGAUUAGAUACCCUGGUAGUCC
RNAcentral lists this ribosomal RNA (292 nucleotides) under uncultured bacterium. RNAcentral's name for it is "partial 16S ribosomal RNA". It matches the Rfam family "Bacterial small subunit ribosomal RNA", at positions 505 to 796 of the family's 1533-position model. The record is from RNAcentral.